This 560-nucleotide ribosomal RNA is filed under the name Magelona mirabilis. RNAcentral describes it as "partial 28S ribosomal RNA". It matches the Rfam family "Eukaryotic large subunit ribosomal RNA", at positions 394 to 771 of the family's 3401-position model. The record is from RNAcentral. Lineage: Eukaryota; Metazoa; Annelida; Polychaeta; Spionida; Magelonidae.
AGUACGUGAAACCGUUUGGAGGUAAACGGGUGGAACCGCAAAGUCCGGCCUUGCCAUUCAACGCUGGGGCUUGCAGAGCUCGGGGCGUCCGGAUCUUCUGGAACGGCGCCUCGUCCUCCUGCGGCCUCGGCGUGCACUUGGCUUGGCUGGAGCGCCACGACCGGUUUCCUGGCUGCCAGAAGGGCCCCGCGGAAGGUAGCUCGUCCUCCGGGGCGAGUGUUAUAGCCGCUGGGGUCUUGGCGGCCUGGGGGACCGAGGUACCAUGGCCCGCGCCCGCCCUUGUGGCACGGUUAGGCGGCGCAAAGUGGCGGCCGGCCAUGGGGGGGACUGCUCGCAGUGCCCUCUUGGUCAGCUGUUGCUUCUGUGUCGCCUCCUCCGAGAGGCGUCUGAGGUCGGUGGCGAAUCCGUCGGCCGUCCACCCGACCCGUCUUGAAACACGGACCAAGGAGUCUAACAUGUGCGCGAGUCAUGGGGUUGCACGAAACCCAAAGGCGCAAUGAAAGUGAAGCCGCAAGGUGAGGUGGGAUGCCCCUUCCGGGGGCCGCACCACCGGCCCGUCA